CGGGACUAAAAGGGAGCUAGCAAUUACUGUAGUUUUACUAUGACCUGGAAGGAAGCCUGUUCUUCUUUGCAUCUCUGCUCACUUGAAGGAGUAUUGUACUAGCAGUUUUGUUUGUUUUUAAAAACCCAAUAUUUGUCUUGGGCUACCCACUCAGAAAGCGCCUGACCUGGGAAGCAUGCCUGAAAUGAAUGGGGCGGGAGGAGGGAAAUCUAGAGGAGUGCAGGGUCUCCUUCAGACCUGAUGACAGCCAGGAGUUUCAGCGCAUCUGCAGAGAUAGACCAGGAACAAGCAUCGGUAUCUGAUUGCAGUCCGGCUUCCUGGGAGAUACUAUUGUGUGACAGUGUUCCAAGGAAUUUGACUUUGACAGCAGGGAGAGGAUUGCCUGUCCUGAUUCAUCCAGAAAUCCGAGAUUUCUGAGGCUGAGUCUCCUGAUGUCACAAGGCUGCCAACCCUGGGGAAAUGGGGUAACCCCAAGUGGCCAGAGGUCAACCUUUGACACCUGUCUGGCUGAGAAAAAAGAAGAAAAAGUUGGGGAAAGAUCAAAACUUUGGAAAUGGAGACCAUUUCUGGCAAGUUGGCAACCCUCAGUGGAACUUGGCUCUUAAAAAAAAAGUAUUAAAAUCAAAUGUUUGCUAAAAUUAUCUGAUAACUAUUUUCAAUCAUGUUAGACCAUUUAUAAUGAGACAUUUUGCUGUUUCACAUGGACUUCAGAAGACAAACUGGGACAUUUUCUCAUUGCUGAGAAGACGUAUGCACAUUGAAUAUGAUGUGUUUGGGUAUUUACUUUGAGUAUUGAUUUAAUUGAGUCCAUUGAGUAUGCUGAUCACCUCGCUAGAUCAGCCCAUGGCCCCCAAAGCACAGCCAUAUAUGUGUAUUGAAGCAGGGUUGCAUAAUUUUGGCUCUCCUGCAGAUAUUGGACUUCAACUCCCACCAUCCCUUAUUGGCCACUGUGGCUGGUGAAGAUUGGAGUUGUGGUUCAAAAGCAGCUGGAAGACUGUUGUUGUUCAGCCCUGUAUUAAAGCCUUGUGAUCCCAGCCCCAGCUGAAUUCCUUGAUUUACAACCAUCAGGCUCAUCCUAAUUUGUCAAUUUUGUUUCCUACUUCAUUCAACGUGUAGGUUUUCAUGAUUUUAUUUCUGUGAACCUCUGCAUUUCAGCUAUGUACAGUAUUUUUAAAAAACCACUGUAUAAUUAAAAAGGU
Long non-coding RNA from Hemicordylus capensis (graceful crag lizard), 1199 nucleotides. RefSeq lists it as uncharacterized. The record is from RefSeq and is a predicted model, not a curated record. The transcript has 4 exons. Lineage: Eukaryota; Metazoa; Chordata; Lepidosauria; Squamata; Cordylidae.